RNAcentral lists this ribosomal RNA (253 nucleotides) under uncultured bacterium. RNAcentral describes it as "partial 16S ribosomal RNA". It matches the Rfam family "Bacterial small subunit ribosomal RNA", at positions 524 to 776 of the family's 1533-position model. The record is from RNAcentral.
UACGUAGGGUGCGAGCGUUAAUCGGAAUUACUGGGCGUAAAGGGUGCGUAGGUGGUUGUUUAAGUCUGCUGUGAAAGCCCCGGGCUCAACCUGGGAAUGGCAGUGGAUACUGGACAGCUAGAGUGCGGUAGAGGGUAGUGGAAUUCCCGGUGUAGCAGUGAAAUGCGUAGAGAUCGGGAGGAACACCAGUGGCGAAGGCGGCUACCUGGACCAGCACUGACACUGAAGCACGAAAGCGUGGGGAGCAAACAGG